GGCCACUCAAAAGUGUGAGCGUUGGGGUCAGAGGUGGACGUGGAAAGUGGACGACAGCAGGUGAAGAUUUUGGCCCUGAUAAUGAAAAGAACUUCCUUGGAAGAAAACCAAGCAUAAAGAAUAGUUGAAAUUGAUCAAGAACAGAAGAACCAGUUCAGGCACUGUGCUAAACCCUUUAUGUCGGUGACCUAAACGAACCACACCACCAAAUCCCUAUGAAACGUCACAGAUGGAGAAAUUGAAGCCCAGGGAUGUGUAUCAGUUGCCCAAAAGUUACACAGGGAACAAAGGGCAGAAACGGAAUGCAUAUCCAGCAGCCUGGCCCCAGAUCCUGUGUCCUGUUAGAGUGGAUCUGCAGACUGAGCAGGGACAGCUCACUAUCCCCCUGGUUACCAGUUGGAGACUGAAAUCUCCUGAAUGCUCACUCCCUCUAGAGGGGAGAAGGCAAGCUGGAGGCCUGAGGGCCCACCCAUCCCUGCCCACCUGCAUCCCAGAUCUGGGCUCCUGCACAGGACCAGAAGGACGAGGGUAAGGAUGUUGCUUCUCUAAGCCCCAGGCUCCUCAUCCCUUGGCUGGGCUACAGAAUACCCCCCUUCGUGGUACUGGAAACGCUGUGUGCAAUGACGAACCCUUUGCCAACUGUACAAUAUAAAUUUCCUCGUGAAAAAGAGUGUGUAACUGUAACUGUAUACCAUCCUCCAAGAACAGUUCCAGUUUGUAGAAAAGAAGAUGUGCCCAGAGAAGUGAAGACACUUGCCUGAGGCCACACAGCUAGGGUAUCUGACUCCAGAAUCUUCC
This 798-nucleotide long non-coding RNA is filed under the name Fukomys damarensis (Damara mole-rat). RNAcentral's name for it is "lncRNA (ENSFDAG00000029148.1)". The record is from RNAcentral. Lineage: Eukaryota; Metazoa; Chordata; Mammalia; Rodentia; Bathyergidae.